UCCACUUCCUGGGCUGCCUCCCUGUUCCAAGAGAAGGGAUUCUUUUGGUGAUCAGAAGAGAGCCUCAAACACACAAGCAGAAAUAGUGAAGGCUAACUCAGGGACAGCGCUCCCGGAACCUUAACGGAUGGACACUUCCUUCCUCCUGGACACAUAAACGCUGAGGGAAACAAAGAUGCUCACAAAGGCAACUGCUAAGGGGAAGCAACUCCAUGCCUGCUAAGUCAAGAUGUGGCAGACUUACUUGGGCUUGAUCCCCAGC
Molecule: long non-coding RNA, 262 nt
Organism: Nycticebus coucang (slow loris)
Lineage: Eukaryota; Metazoa; Chordata; Mammalia; Primates; Lorisidae
Exons: 3
Source: RefSeq, a predicted model, not a curated record